Molecule: ribosomal RNA, 660 nt
Filed under: uncultured archaeon
Lineage: Archaea
Description: bacterial SSU rRNA
Rfam family: Archaeal small subunit ribosomal RNA
Source: RNAcentral
UUCCGGUUGAUCCUGCCGGAGGCUACUGCUAUUGGAAUCCGAUUAAGCCAUGCGAGUCUAAAGGACUUCGGUCCUUGGCGGACGGCUCAGUAACACGUGGAGAAUCUGCCCUCAGGAGGGGGAUAACCCCGGGAAACUGGGAAUAAUACCCCAUAGGUCUAGGAUGCUGGAAUGCUUCUAGGCUGAAAGCUCCGGCGCCUGAGGAUGGCUCUGCGGCUUAUCAGGUUGUAGUGAGGGUAACGUCCUCACUAGCCUAUGACGGGUACGGGCCCUGAGAGGGGAAGCCCGGAGAUGGACUCUGAGACACGAGUUCAGGCCCUACGGGGCGCAGCAGGCGCGAAAACUCCGCAAUGCUCGAAAGAGUGACGGGGGGAUUCCAAGUGCCUACGCUCAGCGUAGGCUGUUCAGAUGCCUAAAAAGCAUCUGGAGUAAGGGCUGGGUAAGACGGGUGCCAUCUGUGGCAGCAGCCGAAAAUUUGGCUUGCUACUGCAAGGCAUAAGCCGCCGCGGUAAUACCCGCAGCUCGAGUGGUAGUCGAUUUUAUUGGGCCUAAAGCGUCCGUAUCCGGUCUGGUAAAUGCUUGGGUAAAUCGUCUGGCUUAACCAGAUGAAUUCCGGGUAGACUACCAGACUUGGGACCGGUUGAGGAAGAGGGUACUUCA